Molecule: ribosomal RNA, 441 nt
Filed under: uncultured bacterium
Lineage: Bacteria
Description: partial 16S ribosomal RNA
Rfam family: Bacterial small subunit ribosomal RNA
Source: RNAcentral
CUACGGGCGGCUCCAGUGGGGAAUAUUGGGCAAUGGGCGCAAGCCUGACCCAGCAACGCCGCGUGAGGGAAGAAGGUUUUCGGAUUGUAAACCUCUGUCCUUGGGGACGAAGAAGUGACGGUACCCAAGGAGGAAGCUCCGGCUAACUACGUGCCAGCAGCCGCGGUAAUACGUAGGGAGCAAGCGUUGUCCGGAAUUACUGGGCGUAAAGGGUGCGUAGGCGGCAUAUUAAGUCAGGUGUGAAAUACUCGGGCUCAACCCGGGGGCUGCAUUUGAAACUGAUAUGCUUGAGUGUGAGAGAGGAAAGUGGAAUUCCUAGUGGAGCGGUGGAAUGCGUAGAUAUUAGGAGGCACACCAGUGGCGAAGGCGACUUUCUGGCUCAUAACUGACGCUGAGGCACGAAAGCGUGGGGAGCAAACAGGAUUAGAUACCCCCGUAGUC